GUAAAUUAAAAUAAGACAUGACUUAAAGGUGUUAGUUACCAGGUCAUAAAAUCCCAUAAAAAAUGUAACUUUGGCGGGAACGCAAGUGUGUGAAGUACUGUGAAGGAGUGGACGGUUCGCAGAUGUUUGGAGCGGACCGCGGGCCCAAGGGUUGGCUUUAGGCGCUCUUACGGUGCGCUAGAGUGCUGGUAGCGCAGCUUCUACCCCAUCAGGUCACACCGUGAGAUUCACCAGGGGAGGCCGUCAGCUUACAGGAGCCGGGACGUAGAUAGUCAAGCAAAUGGCCCACCUUAUUUUUAUAUGAGUAUUAUGAUUGAGUGUUUGAAAACAAUAUAACAGUAUUUCAGUGCGUACAUAAAAUGAAAUAUGAAUAUACGUAAAUGUCUCCGUCUCCGUCUAAUGAGGCCGAAAAUCCGGAACUAUUUAAAUAAAAUAGUUUUAUUCCGCAGUGAGUAAAACACUAUUGUAAAUUCGUUAAAUAUUUAUUAAUUAUGUGAUUUUAGAGAGGAAGUCACAAGGAAUGACGUUUGUAAUUUCAUUAACGAAUAAAUGUUCUGUAGGUGUUUUUUUUUAUCAGGCGGUCCCUUGAUAAGUUUAAAAUUUGCGGUGCACCUUCCUUGAGGUGCACUGCGGUAGUCUGUUACGGACUUUAGAGUCAGCAAAACAAUUAAAAUAGAUUGGAAUAGUCUAAGCGUACUCAAAAUACGAUAACAUUCAGCAUGCUAGAAAUGGGCUGAUGGCACUGUACUAUGCCAUAUCUUUAUGUUUUGCGGCAAACGACAACUUUAUAAAAUCAGUGUAGCAAAUUUUAAAAAUCGUCAUAUCGUUUACUUGGAAAAUUUGAAGCACGAACUCGUCUUAGAUUUCACAUAAUAUCUAAAUCACAUCAUCUUUGCACAUAACAAUAUGCUUAAUUCCUAUUAAAGUAUAAAUUCUAUAUAAUAUAUAAGUAAAAAUACAUUCAUACUCAACAAUAUUUAAAAUAAAAUAAGCCAAGAACGUAUGUCGAUAAAACCUAUUAACAUUAAAAUCUUCUGGUCAGCACUAAAACCGCCAUGUUUUGUGGCCAGAUGACGUCACAGUGGCACGAAUUUUUUGUUGACGUUUCAUUUCCAUAGGUUUCCUACUUCAGUGGUUAUUUAUUUCUUUUUGUUAACUACCUCACUUCUGGUCGAUAAUAAUAGUUAUUGAAAACCAUAGAGAGAAUGUAUUCCACCGACCUUGUCCAUUAAACCCACGGACCGAAUAUUGCUGCUCAAAACCUGUACAUAAUAGUAAGAUAAUCUUGAAAAAGUCAUAAGUGCUAUUACUAAAUCCCGCUCUCUAACAGAUAGAUAUACAAACUUUUUACUGUAUGAAGUAAAAGAUAAACGAAAACGUAGACGUAAAUUUUUACGUUUCAUAUUAUGUCACAAUAUCAAAGUUUUUACUCAGAUUUUUAUAUUUUUACGGACACAUCAUUUUGUAAACAUAUUUAUUCUUAAUCAAUCCAAGGGCAUUGUAAUAUCAAAAAUAAAUGCUGAUUUUAGUAAUCUAUAACAAGAAUAUAAAAUAUUGAAAUAGAUAUUUUGAUAUAAAGAAGAGCUAGCAAUAUGUGAUUAUGAGCUAUGAUGUGGUUACAAGCUGUUAUGUUUAUAAUUCAAUUUCUAGCCGCGGUGUGUGCCGUGGCGGUCUGUGGCCCUUGUCUGUUGGCUUGCGCACGAAGACUGAUCAUAGGAGAUGAAGUGUUGCGGGACGGCGGCCCAGUCCUACGUGAAGCUGAAGUACUGGGCUGUGACGAACCGGCGUGUCCGUAUUACAAAAAGAAUAUCAGGUACUUAAUGGUACCCGCCACGAGAAGACGGAACUGCACACAAAACGAUAAUAAAAGGCAGACUAAUUUGGCAACACAGUAGUUUGAUUUAAGUUUUUUUUUAUAAUUAAAUUUAUUAUACAUUUUAAUAAAACUAAAAUUGGCUUUCUCA
Long non-coding RNA from Bombyx mori (domestic silkworm), 1964 nucleotides. RefSeq lists it as uncharacterized. The record is from RefSeq and is a predicted model, not a curated record. The transcript has 2 exons. NCBI's taxonomy places the organism in Eukaryota, Metazoa, Arthropoda, Insecta, Lepidoptera, Bombycidae.